UCUCUUCGUCGCUCUUUCUCCCCCUCGCUGCUUCUUCUCCAUUCUCUCUGUUAUUUUGCAGAUUUGAAAGCAUCGAAAAUACUACUAGUAACAGGGAAAAAUCAAUAUAGUUUGUGUUUUCGGAAAGAAAGACUCUUGCUGGUAUACUUACAAGGGUUUUCGCACUUUGAUUGUGUGAUUCUGUUCUCUUAACCUUUUUCUUUUUUUUGGUUGUUGUUUUCUGAUCUUAAUUGAUCGUGUAUAUUUAUGUUAUAGGUAAAGAAUUGUGUCAGGAUGGUUGACACAAAUUUAAGUGCAUGGGCUCAAAUUGGAGAAUAAUAAUACAACAGAUUAUUUUCUUCGGUUAUUAGUUUAUGUAAAACUGAAGCUUAAUCACGAAACGUUACCGGCUGCUAUUAUGGUGUUAAUGAUUUUAUUUUCUGAUUUACGGUUGUUGAUUUUUAAUUGAUCUCAUUAUGUUUUAUUUUUGUAGGCUAGGAUCAUUCUAUGAACCCAAAUGGGAAGAAGGGUUUGUUUCUCGAAUUAGGGUUACUUUGCUCUUGAAUUAGGGUUUCUAAUUAAAUGGAAAUUUGGGCUCUUAAUGGUUUUUGAUUAUUGAUUUUUUUAAAGAUGUCAGGAUGUCAUUGUGUUUUAAAUUUUCAAAUUUUUAGGCGACGCACAUAGAUGGUUUACAUAUUAAAACUAUAGAAUGUAAUAGCCUAAUAGGCAUGCAUUAUUUUUUGGGCACUUGAAUUUCUGGAAACUGAAAGUAUGGAAUUUCGAACAGAUCCAAAUUGUGGUAAAGGAGGUGAGCAGGGACAACGGAAAUUGUGGUAAGCAGUUUCAAAGUCUUACACAAGCUUAGAAAGUAAAAUUACAUAAACAGAAAGUGAUGAACACGGAACAAGGGUUAUUGCUUUCUCAAAUAAUUUUCUUCAAGUGGAAAAGGAUGGAUACUCUAACUGGGGGCAACGAGGAGAUGGGCGAGGCCGAGGCAACGAUGAUUAUGGUACACCAUGUGCCUUAAUGGGAUUGACUCCCUGAUUUACUAUUUGGGAUUCUGGCAGAUUCUGCAUAUGAAGAAAAAUGCAAACAAGGUUUUAUGUGUCACAGCACGGGAGCCUUCUAGCAGAGUUCCUUGCAUCGAACACAAGUAUAUCAUAUACGAAAGGUUGCAGCUCAUGUAGUGAAGGAAGGAGAUGCUACUCAUAUAACAGUAAGUUUAUUUUUCCUAAAUUUUUAACAUAUGCCAAUUCGACUAAUUAAUAUAUCUUAGAUUUUUCUCUUAAAUCCAAACACCUUUAGUGAUAGCCUACAAAGUAGCUUUAGCGUUUAGGUUACUAAUUGCUAGUUUGGCAUCUUCUUUGCUCUCAGAUGGUAGGAAAGUCUAAGUAUCUUCCAAGUUUCGGAUAGGUAUCUCGCAAGUCUUAAUACAUAAAUUAUACUUCUGGUUUUAAGUAUUUGAAACUCGAACAUGUUGUAAUUAUUGGUGGAUCUCUGGUCUUGGUAUCCCCGUAUGUUAAUUUUAGUAUGUUCUUUUACUUUAAUGUUACAUAAUCGAUGGUUGGGUUUCGUGAUUGCUUGGAACACAAAUAUUUUUUUAGUUGCAAUAAAAAAAAAAUCUACAGCAUAUUAUGGGUUUAACACGGGCUAAAAGUUGUUGUGAUGUGGUAUCCAUUCAUGUAAAAGAUAUCUUCUUAUUGUUCUUGCUAAUGAUUUUUUUCUUUUUCCUAAUGUGAAUGUUGUAUUAGAUGCUUUAGAUCAAUAGCAGGGCAUCAAAGAACCCAUGCGGUACCUCAAGAACAAUUUUGAUUUGUUUUAGGGAAAACAUAUGAAGCAGGUUUAAGCGAUAAUCAUGUAAAAAAUUUCGUUUUUUUUGUUGUUAAUAUGCAUUUUAACUGCGAAAUUUGAAACUACUAAAGAGUUGUAAUAAUUUGAUUGUAUGGAAUUCUGAUUUGAUUUUCUAAAA
Papaver somniferum (opium poppy) is the source of this 1948-nucleotide long non-coding RNA. RefSeq lists it as uncharacterized. The transcript is spliced from 3 exons. NCBI's taxonomy places the organism in Eukaryota, Viridiplantae, Streptophyta, Magnoliopsida, Ranunculales, Papaveraceae. The record is from RefSeq and is a predicted model, not a curated record.